This is a transfer RNA of 72 nucleotides. It matches the Rfam family "tRNA". Rfam says of the family: Transfer RNA (tRNA) molecules are approximately 80 nucleotides in length.
AGCACUAUAAUGUAAUGGAUAACAUAUUAGACUCAUGUUCUAUUAAUAUAGGUUCAAGUCCUAUUAGUGCAU